Molecule: long non-coding RNA, 2253 nt
Organism: Poeciliopsis prolifica (blackstripe livebearer)
Lineage: Eukaryota; Metazoa; Chordata; Actinopteri; Cyprinodontiformes; Poeciliidae
Exons: 6
Source: RefSeq, a predicted model, not a curated record
CUCAGACACUCUGGCUGUUCUCAUCUGCUGCUCCACCACCUCUGAUGUUCUUUUGUAACUCUCCUGCAGCUGCGCUGUGUCUGCUUUCUAGAGACAAUUAUUCCGACUGAUGCUUUCAUCCCAAAGCUUAUUGAGCAGGCAAGUCAGAUAUCUUUUGCAGCGGAUAAAACGAAGGAGGAACAACUGGGGGAGAGAGAGGGCAAGACCAGCAGAGAGGAGGGCGGGUGCCUGAGAGGAAACACAAAUGAUGCGAGCAAGUCGCUGCCCAAUUUGCCACACCUUUGUUGUUUCUGAAACACAAACGUUUCCUUGAUGAAAGUGCUAAAUCUUGGUCAUUUUUCUUUGCUUUCACCAACAGAAAAGCUGCUGAGAGGGGGAAACCCUCUGGAGGUCUUGAUGUGUGGCUGUGGUGAUCAAUCAUAGAACCACUCAGGACGAGAUCUUGAGUGGUGAUCACUGACUGGCUGAGCUUUGGUUUUACUGCAUCGCCUGCUGGCGACGAAGUUCUUGUUGAAGGUAUAAAGUUGCUGACAGUCCUGGAGGGCUGAGUUGAUCUGAAGCUGUUAAACAGACCAGAGGAGAAAAGGUCAAAGGUUAUGAAGUUAUGAAAGACUGGCGAUGAAUCUUCUUGUUUAUCUCACCGGAGUCCGCAGAGCUGUGCUCGUGGGCUAAGGAAAGACUAAAAGGAAGGAAAGGGAGGAAAAGAAGUCAUUCUUUCCAAGCCACUCAGCCCAGACCCAAGAGCAACUUGUUUUGGGGGUCCUCCGCCUGCCCAGGAUGAGAGACGGCCAUUGUACGAGUCGCUGCAGUAGACGUGGGGGCUUUGAGAGGGCACCAGUUGAUUGAGGGAGGAGUGGGAGAGAAAUCUGAAUUUCUGCUAAACUCCGUCACAGCAGCGGGGAGUGGGACAAAGAGACACUGUGAUGACCGCAGCGGAGGAGAAUUUCGCAUUGCCUCUCCAUGACUGGUUACGCUGGCCACCGAUGACAGCUGAUAAACAGUUUUCCAAUAACGGUCUGCAUAAAAAGUCAAUCGUCCAGCUGCAGCUGAUCCAGAACGCUGCUGCUCACAUUCUCACUAAAACUAUGAAGAUGGAGCACAUAACACCAGUUCUAAAGUCCUUCCUCUGGCUCCCUGUAUCUCAGAGAAUAGACGUUAAAAUACUUCUGUUGGUUUAUAAAUUACUGAACGGAUGAUCUCCGAAACACACUGGAGACUUGUUUUUAUUGCAUCAACCUCCCAGACCACUCAGGUCUUCUGGAUCAAGUCUAAUGUCUGUUGCUUGUUUGCUGUCGUCAACACAACCGUUUACAUUUUUCACAUGUAAUCCACUUUGAACUGUUGCUGCUGCACAAAUAAACGUGACUUGACUUACUGCCAGCUGGACUGUUGCUAUAACUGGUGCAGUGCAGCUUUGAGUCACUUGCAGGAAGCUGAGAAGCAGACAAAGAGGAGGAUGCUCUCCUCUGUGAGUGGAAGUGUCUCAGAGGAUGUCAAAGUCCAAAUGCAGUAAAUUACUCAUCCAAAUAUCAAUGGCUUUUUCCAACUGUCUCCUCUUCAUCCUUGGCUGGUUUUCACGCCAUGUUUUUUCAAGUUUUCAACGCAUAUUGUGAGUCUUCAAAAGGUCGAGGCGCGGAUUCAAAUUGUGCUUUUUUUCUUCAAUUGAUCGAACCGUUUUUUAAUGUUAGGCAUCAUCCAGAGCUGAAAGUUUAACACCACAAAUUCGGUUUAAGACAACAUACCUUUGAACUUCUUGUCGUUUUAGAGAGGAAGGGUUUGGUUGAGCAGAAAACAAACAGAGGAAGCUGACUGUUGGCCUGCUGGCUCUUAAAGCUCUUAGCAAGAGACAAAAAAGAAAAAAUGUAUCCACACCUUUUAUAGCUUCACGCACUCCUCCUAUGCAUCCCCAUUGGCACUAUUAGGAAUUUAAAACAAUUGCUGUUUGUCAUCUAUGCAAAGGUCCAGAACGGAAUUUCCCAUGAUGGUAUCGGCUUCCCGCCGUAACACAGAAGCUCGAUGCUGAGGCUUGGACAAGGAAGGAAGUACAGUUCAAAUUGUUCUGGUUCAAACGCAGUAAAAUAAGCAAGAAUCGAUUCUUUUUGAGCCAAGAGGUGUAGAUCCCGGAGGAGAGUGGAAAUUCCCACACCCAGCAGCGAGGUCAGAUAGUGAUGGGCGGAUGAGGCCCCACUGGGUGUAUGGCACAUUUCCCAAACUGUGUCGACACUGUGUUGAAACUGUGUGGCUGUGUCACUC